This is an RNA transcript of Alnus glutinosa, 1573 nucleotides long. It is a transcript of the gene named probable serine/threonine-protein kinase At1g09600, with no coding region annotated. The transcript is spliced from 4 exons. The record is from RefSeq and is a predicted model, not a curated record. NCBI's taxonomy places the organism in Eukaryota, Viridiplantae, Streptophyta, Magnoliopsida, Fagales, Betulaceae.
UAAAAAUCAUGAAAUUUGAAAUCAGCGCAGGACAUCUUCUUCUAUGUAACCAUUUUUUUUUUUGUCCCCAAAACCAUUUCCCCCCAAAUCUUUCCCUCCCUCCCUCUCUCCAUCUCCUCUCCUCAACCCCACCGUGAACCCGCCAUCGUCGACGACUCACGAGCCCGCCACCGUCGAUCACUCACGAGCCCGCGACUCCACUGUUGGUUCUCCAUCUCCGGCCAAAACCCAACCACCGGGGUUCUCCAUCUCCGGUUCGGCUCCGCUCCGAUGACCCAACCACCGUACCGCCACGAGCAGCCCCAGCCGAACCACCACCGCCGACGAGCCCAUCCACCUUAAGUUUUUCUUUGUUAUUAUUAUUAUUAUUAUUAUUAUUAUCUUUCCUUUUGAUUUUCUCUCCAGAUCCGGUUUUGUUAGUUUUUUAUGGGUGAGAUUUGGCUAAGAAAAUGCAGGAAUUGGAGGGACAAAAUUGGCUGAGAUUUGGGCUCCCACAGUUCCUGCGACCAUUUCCCUCCCCCAUUUCCGGCACCGCAUAGGGUGGCUAUGACCAUUUGAUUGGUACGUCAGAGCAUGGACAGACUGUUAAUUCAUCCGAUCUGACCAUACCUACUUCAGAUCAAAUGCUAUAUGCAACAACUACUAUGUAGACUUGACCAUUGUAAUAGUCAUGGUGUUUGGAAAUGGUAUCACUCACAGCAUUGGACCACCAUAUGCAUCAGCUUUAUAGCACAACCCAUUAGAUGGUUUUACUUGUCAGGAGUUCACACAACAAGCAAUGUAGAAAAUCCACCUUUUUUAUGUCUACUUUGUCCAUUUCAUUUCCUUGAAGAUGAAAAAUGGUUAAUUGUCCAUAUUGAUCGGCAUUUAAUCGUUUACCCUUUCCCAAUUUGCUUAGAAAAAGAAAAAAGAAAAUUGUUUAUAUCAUGAAUUUGUUAGAGAUCCUUCAAAUGUACUACUGAGGUUCAUCAACAAGCAAGUGUCAUUUAAUGAUGUUCAAUGGCUUGUGUUAUACUAACAUAGCAUGGAUAAGUAACAAGUUUCACCUUACUGUUCAUAUCUCUUAUUUGUUUGGGCAUCAUGAUGACAACAGUUAUCAUUUAUAAGUUGAGCAACUGCAUAAAAUCUUCAAACUUUGUGGGUCACUUUUUGAAGAGUAUCGGAAGAAGUCAAAAUUGUCACAUGCAACCAUCUUUAAGCCUCAACACCCUUACAAGUGUACAGUUGCUGAGACAUUCAAGGACUUUCCUGAUCCAGCAUUGUCCCUUUUGGAUGUCCUUCUUGCAGUAGAACCCAGGGGCUGCGGAACAGCUUCUUCUGCACUCCAGAGUGAGGGAAGAGUUCAGAUAUAGGAGGUCAUUCUAGGUGCCGAAGACGUUGAUUGAGGUGGUGUAUUCCAAAUCAAGUGUAGUUUUUUUGGAUGAUGAGAUUAGGAAGUCUAUUGAGAGGGUUUAAUCCUGAAUGGGGAUGAUAAAUGACUGUGUUAGUUAGAAGUGGUAUUAUUGUGAGAAAUUUUAUAGAACAAAAUUUGGAAUGUUCAUAAUAUUUAUUGAACAAAAUUUAUUGUGAGAAA